CUCUUUGGACACUCGUAAACAGGUGGUGCAUGGUUGUCGUCAGCUCGUGUCGUGAGAUGUUGGGUUAAGUCCCGCAACGAGCGCAACCCUCGUUCUAUGUUGCCAGCACGUAAUGGUGGGAACUCAUGGGAUACUGCCGGGGUCAACUCGGAGGAAGGUGGGGAUGACGUCAAAUCAUCAUGCCCCUUAUGUCUUGGGCUUCACGCAUGCUACAAUGGCCGGUACAAAGGGCUGCAAUACCGUGAGGUGGAGCGAAUCCCAAAAAGCCGGUCCCAGUUCGGAUUGAGGUCUGCAACUCGACCUCAUGAAGUCGGAGUCGC
Molecule: ribosomal RNA, 320 nt
Filed under: Microbacterium sp. BC1_NA3B8
Lineage: Bacteria; Bacillati; Actinomycetota; Actinomycetes; Micrococcales; Microbacteriaceae
Description: bacterial SSU rRNA
Rfam family: Bacterial small subunit ribosomal RNA
Source: RNAcentral